RNAcentral lists this long non-coding RNA (214 nucleotides) under Elaeis guineensis (African oil palm). Its description in RNAcentral is "long non-coding RNA (EGUI_LNC007943)". Lineage: Eukaryota; Viridiplantae; Streptophyta; Magnoliopsida; Arecales; Arecaceae. The record is from RNAcentral.
GGUUCCACAUGCGGCAUCUUGAAUCGAGUUGGGAUCAGUUCGUCCAAAACAUAUUGAGAGAGAGAUUGGGCGGUAUGAAAAUCAAAAUCGUUUAAAGAUUUCUGACCAUCCACCUGGAGUUGGGCGAGUCGAUGGUCGAUUUUUUCGAACUUACGUUCAUAGUCUUUGAGCUGAUGGUGGUGAAAAACUCCAGGGGUUGAACCUUUCGAUGAGU